UACGAAGGGGGCGAGCGUUGUUCGGAUUUACUGGGCGUAAAGGGCGCGUAGGCGGCGGGUCAAGUCGAGUGUGAAAGCCCCGGGCUCAACCUGGGAAUUGCGCUCGAGACUGGUCUGCUUGAGUUCGGGAGAGGAGAGUGGAAUUCCCAGUGUAGAGGUGAAAUUCGUAGAUAUUGGGAAGAACACCGGUGGCGAAGGCGGCGCUCUGGACCGAGACUGACGCUGAGGCGCGAAAGCGUGGGGAGCAAACAGG
This 253-nucleotide ribosomal RNA is filed under the name uncultured bacterium. RNAcentral describes it as "partial 16S ribosomal RNA". It matches the Rfam family "Bacterial small subunit ribosomal RNA", at positions 524 to 776 of the family's 1533-position model. The record is from RNAcentral.